AGCGUUGCUCGGAAUUACUGGGCGUAAAGGGCGCGUAGGCGGCACUGUUAGUCAGGCGUGAAAGUCCUGGGCUCAACCUGGGAACUGCGCUUGAUACGGCAGAGCUAGAGGAUGGAAGAGGCUCGCGGAAUUCCCAGUGUAGAGGUGAAAUUCGUAGAUAUUGGGAAGAACACCGGUGGCGAAGGCGGCGAGCUGGUCCAUUACUGACGCUGAGGCGCGACAGCGUGGGGAGCAAACAGG
RNAcentral lists this ribosomal RNA (240 nucleotides) under uncultured bacterium. RNAcentral describes it as "partial 16S ribosomal RNA". It matches the Rfam family "Bacterial small subunit ribosomal RNA", at positions 537 to 776 of the family's 1533-position model. The record is from RNAcentral.